Molecule: ribosomal RNA, 484 nt
Filed under: uncultured bacterium
Lineage: Bacteria
Description: partial 16S ribosomal RNA
Rfam family: Bacterial small subunit ribosomal RNA
Source: RNAcentral
ACUCAAAGGAAUAGACGGGGGCCCGCACAAGCAGCGGAGCGUGUGGUUUAAUUCGAGGCUACACGAAGAACCUUACCUGGGCUGGACAUGCCCGUGGUAGCCGCGUGAAAACGGGGCGACCUUCGGGAGCGGGGACAGGUGCUGCAUGGCUGUCGUCAGCUCGUGUCGUGAGAUGUUCGGUUAAGUCCGGUAACGAGCGCAACCCUCGGGGGUAGUUACAAGUGUCUACCCCGACAGCCCGGUGCAACUGGGAGGAAGGUGGGGAUGACGUCAAGUCAGCAUGGCCUUGAUGCCCAGGGCGACACACACGCUACAAUGGUCGGGACAAUGGGUCGCCAACCCGCGAGGGGGAGCCAAUCCAGCAAAGCCGACCUCAGUGCGGAUUGCAGGCUGCAACUCGCCUGCAUGAAGUGGGAGUUGCUAGUAAACGCGCAUCAGCCAUGGCGCGUUGAAUACGUUCCCGGGCCUUGUACACACCGCCCGU